This 502-nucleotide ribosomal RNA is filed under the name uncultured bacterium. RNAcentral describes it as "bacterial SSU rRNA". It matches the Rfam family "Bacterial small subunit ribosomal RNA", at positions 8 to 518 of the family's 1533-position model. The record is from RNAcentral.
AGAGUUUGAUUCUGGCUCAGGAUGAACGCUGGCGGCGUGCUUAACACAUGCAAGUCGAGCGGAAAUAUUAAAAGCUUGCUUUGAAUAUUUAGCGGCGGACGGGUGAGUAACGUGUGGGUAACCUGCCAUAUACUGUGGAAUAACCAUUUGAAAGGAUGACUAAUACCGCAUGUCGUCACCGAGGGGCAUCCCUUGGUGAAAAAAGGAGUAAUCCGGUAUAUGAUGGACCCGCAUCUGAUUAGCUAGUUGGUGAGAUAAUAGCUCACCAAGGCGACGAUCAGUAGCCGACCUGAGAGGGUGAUCGGCCACAUUGGGACUGAGACACGGCCCAAACUCCUACGGGAGGCAGCAGUGGGGAAUAUUGCACAAUGGGCGAAAGCCCUGAUGCAGCAACGCCGCGUGAAGGAAGAAGGGUUUCGGCUCGUAAACUUCUAUCAAUGGGGAAGAAAUAAAUGACGGUACCCAAAUAAGAAGCCCCGGCUAACUACGUGCCAGCCGCCGC